This 253-nucleotide ribosomal RNA is filed under the name uncultured bacterium. Its description in RNAcentral is "partial 16S ribosomal RNA". It matches the Rfam family "Bacterial small subunit ribosomal RNA", at positions 524 to 776 of the family's 1533-position model. The record is from RNAcentral.
UACGUAGGGGGCUAGCGUUGUCCGGAAUCAUUGGGCGUAAAGCGCGUGUAGGCGGCCCGGUAAGUCCGCUGUGAAAGUCGGGGGCUCAACCCUCGGAUGCCGGUGGAUACUGUCGGGCUGGAGUACGGAAGAGGCGAGUGGAAUUCCUGGUGUAGCGGUGAAAUGCGCAGAUAUCGGGAAGAAUAUCCGUGGCGAAGGCGGCUCUCUGGUACGGCACUGACGCUGAGACGCGAAAGCGUGGGGAGCAAACAGG